This 461-nucleotide ribosomal RNA is filed under the name uncultured Terrimonas sp. RNAcentral's name for it is "bacterial SSU rRNA". It matches the Rfam family "Bacterial small subunit ribosomal RNA", at positions 335 to 793 of the family's 1533-position model. Lineage: Bacteria; Pseudomonadati; Bacteroidota; Chitinophagia; Chitinophagales; Chitinophagaceae. The record is from RNAcentral.
ACUCCUACGGGAGGCAGCAGUAAGGAAUAUUGGUCAACGGACGCAAGUCUGACCCAGCCAUGCCGCGUGGAGGAUGAAGGUCCUCUGGAUUGUAAACUUCUUUUCUCUGGGGCGAAAAAAGGGCAUUCUUGCUCACUUGACAGUACCAGAGGAAUAAGCACCGGCUAACUCCGUGCCAGCAGCCGCGGUAAUACGGAGGGUGCAAGCGUUAUCCGGAUUCACUGGGUUUAAAGGGUGCGUAGGUGGGGAGGUAAGUCAGCGGUGAAAUCCCCGAGCUUAACUUGGGAACUGCCAUUGAUACUAUCUCUCCUGAAUACCUUGGAGGUGAGCGGAAUAUGUCAUGUAGCGGUGAAAUGCUUAGAUAUGACAUAGAACACCAAUUGCGAAGGCAGCUCACUACACGGUCAUUGACACUGAGGCACGAAAGCGUGGGGAUCAAACAGGAUUAGAUACCCUGGUAG